Molecule: ribosomal RNA, 164 nt
Filed under: uncultured bacterium
Lineage: Bacteria
Description: partial 16S rRNA
Rfam family: Bacterial small subunit ribosomal RNA
Source: RNAcentral
UAGGGAAUCUUCCACAAUGGACGCAAGUCUGAUGGAGCGACGCCGCGUGAGUGAAGAAGGUCUUCGGAUCGUAAAACUCUGUUGUUAGAGAAGAACACGAGUGAGAGUAACUGUUCAUUCGAUGACGGUAUCUAACCAGCAAGUCACGGCUAACUACGUGCCGG